GGGGCCAUAGUGUAGCUUGGCUAUCACCGGAGGCUGGGGGCCUUCUAACCGGGGUUCGAAUCCUCGUGGCCCCA
Molecule: transfer RNA, 74 nt
Filed under: Candidatus Woesearchaeota archaeon
Lineage: Archaea; Nanobdellati; Candidatus Woesearchaeota
Description: tRNA-Pro
Rfam family: tRNA
About the family: Transfer RNA (tRNA) molecules are approximately 80 nucleotides in length. Their secondary structure includes four short double-helical elements and three loops (D, anti-codon, and T loops).
Source: RNAcentral